CUGAUGACCCCAACACCCAGCUCAAUAUUUCCAUAGCACAUGAAACCUCCACUGGGUUAUAGGAAAAAUUUCACAAUAAGUAGGAAACAACUUACUUUAAAAGCCAACCAGUGAUGCCAAAAUGGCAUCUGACUUUGUCUUCACCCACUGCCCCUUCAGCUACUUAGCUCUCCAAUUCUUUUUGGCAGCUUGCCUCUUCCAGCUCCCCAACUCCCAAAAGAUUUCUCUUCUGCCUUCCAUUGGUAGAAGAAAGUGGGGCCUGGAACUCUCUCACAAGUCUUUGGUCCUAUUCCAUGGCCAAUCCAGUGGCACCCACCCAGUGAUUCCUGGGAACCAUGACAACCACAUAUACAACUCAACUAUCUUCCUCCACCACCUCCUUGCCACUACCAUCGAGGCAGCCCAUAUUCCCCUGUAGCCAAGUUAAUAGAUUCAGAUGUCAAUGGCUAACUGGAUAAUUGUCCAUGGUAAUUUCCAUGUUUUUCCUGUAUUCAGCAUGCUGUUCUCUACUCCUCUGCUUCAAAUAAACCCAAAACAAACCUGGAAGAGCACCCGCAGAGAAAUCAUUUGCUAUGAAAGUUAUGAAGAGCUUUUCACAGAAUGUAGGACCAGCAGGGACCUAAGGAGUUCAUACAAUCCGUCUCCUUCCCUUUGGAUGGGAAGUACUGCACCAGUUCAGAUCAAUCUCUCCAUUUUUAAAACAGACUGCUAAAGAAGGAUCACUACUACCAUACAUAGACUUUUCACAAGCCUUCUGGGAGAUAGCAUGGAGUAGUGGGAAAAGUACUGGGCUUGUAACCAAAAGACUUCAGCUUCGAGUCCUAGCUCUGCCACUUACUAGCUAUGGGA
Molecule: non-coding RNA, 849 nt
Organism: Phascolarctos cinereus (koala)
Lineage: Eukaryota; Metazoa; Chordata; Mammalia; Diprotodontia; Phascolarctidae
Source: RefSeq, a predicted model, not a curated record